GGGGGGAAUAUUGGACAAUGGGCGAAAGCCUGAUCCAGCCAUGCCGCGUGUGUGAAGAAGGUCUUCGGAUUGUAAAGCACUUUAAGUUGGGAGGAAGGGCAGUAAGUUAAUACCUUGCUGUUUUGACGUUACCGACAGAAUAAGCACCGGCUAACUUCGUGCCAGCAGCCGCGGUAAUACGAAGGGUGCAAGCGUUAAUCGGAAUUACUGGGCGUAAAGCGCGCGUAGGUGGUUUUGUAAGUUGGAGGUGAAAUCCCCGGGCUCAACCUGGGAACUGCCUCCAAAACUGCAUGACUAGAGUACGGUAGAGGGUAGUGGAAUUUCCUGUGUAGCGGUGAAAUGCGUAGAUAUAGGAAGGAACACCAGUGGCGAAGGCGACUACCUGGACUGAUACUGACACUGAGGUGCGAAAGCGUGGGGAGCAAACAGGAUUAGAAACCCGGGUAGUCC
Molecule: ribosomal RNA, 450 nt
Filed under: uncultured bacterium
Lineage: Bacteria
Description: partial 16S ribosomal RNA
Rfam family: Bacterial small subunit ribosomal RNA
Source: RNAcentral